This 254-nucleotide ribosomal RNA is filed under the name uncultured bacterium. RNAcentral's name for it is "partial 16S ribosomal RNA". It matches the Rfam family "Bacterial small subunit ribosomal RNA", at positions 524 to 776 of the family's 1533-position model. The record is from RNAcentral.
CACGUAGGGCGCAAGCGUUGUUCGGAUUUACUGGGCGUAAAGCGCGUGUAGGCGGCUUUGCAAGUCGGGUGUGAAAGCCCUCAGCUUAACUGAGGAAGUGCGCCCGAAACUGCAGAGCUUGAGUACCGGAGAGGAUGGUGGAAUUCCCCAAGUAGAGGUGAAAUUCGUAGAUAUGGGGAGGAACACCGGUGGCGAAGGCGACCAUCUGGACGGAUACUGACGCUGAGACGCGAAAAGCGUGGGUAGCAAACAGG